Molecule: ribosomal RNA, 523 nt
Filed under: Sympecma fusca
Lineage: Eukaryota; Metazoa; Arthropoda; Insecta; Odonata; Lestidae
Also listed under: 1 other name
Description: SSU rRNA
Rfam family: Eukaryotic small subunit ribosomal RNA
Source: RNAcentral
UAGUCGGAGGUGUGUCUCGGACGGUUGGUUCGCUGCUUGUCGGUGCUUAACUGGCCGGUCCGGACGUCCUGCCGGUGGGGAUGUCAAAAGUCUCCGUUAUCCUUCUUUGGUGCUCUUCACCGAGUGCUUUGGUGGGCCGGCACGUUUACUUUGAACAAAUUAGAGUGCUCAAAGCAGGCCGUUGGUCGCCUGAAUACUGUGUGCAUGGAAUAAUGGAAUAGGACCUCGGUUCCAUUUUGUUGGUUUUCAGAACUCGAGGUAAUGAUUAAUAGGGACGGACGGGGGCAUUCGUAUUGCGACGUUAGAGGUGAAAUUCUUGGAUCGUCGCAAGACGAACCGAUGCGAAAGCAUUUGCCAAGAACGUUUUCGUUGAUCAAGAACGAAAGUUAGAGGUUCGAAGGCGAUCAGAUACCGCCCUAGUUCUAACCAUAAACGAUGCCAGCUAGCCAUCCGCCGAAGUUCCUUCUAUGACUCGGCGGGCAGCUUCCGGGAAACCAAAGCUCUUGGGUUCCGGGGGAAGUAU